UACAGAAGGCUGAGAAAGUGGGGCAGCUUAGUACCACGCUGCCUUUCGCUGGUUAAGACCUGUGAGAGCAAAGGUAGCCAAGGGACAUCAGUUUCCACUGCUACCUUCAAAAAGGCGGCGCUGUGCUGACUGGCAUCUG
Molecule: small nucleolar RNA, 139 nt
Organism: Sorex araneus (European shrew)
Lineage: Eukaryota; Metazoa; Chordata; Mammalia; Eulipotyphla; Soricidae
Source: Ensembl